GUUGACUAGCAUGCUAGCAAAAUAUUCUAAGUACGCGUUCUUGUUUCUUAACGGUGUCUGCGUUGAGGCAACAGUAAACGUUUAAACAUAUCUUUUUGUCUGGCCGUUAAUUGAAACUAAAACGUGUUUGCGUUGUCAGGUGGCUGACAUCAGGCCGUCUGCGGCGAGUUUUUAUAGUUGCGGUGUGGGAGUAUGUCUUCGACGUUAGAAGAUGAGGUGGACCCGUACAUGAACUACAUCUCGGGGCUUCUUCUGGCGGCUGUGAUGUAACGCGGCGUGAAAACUUCGAGGCGGUCGUCUGCUUGUUGACUUUUAAGACACUUUUUGGGCGGCGAAGGUCACUGAAUAGUGAUGUGUCAUUAUAAUCAUCUUGACCUUCACGUUUAAACUCACGUUUAAGCGAAAUAUAAGUCAUUUCCCCCCAAAAACAAAAGCAGAUUGGAUGUAAAAUAGCGUCAUAUUCAAUGGACUGAAAUGAAAGUGGAAUAAAACUCUAACAUUACUGCA
This is a long non-coding RNA of Puntigrus tetrazona (Sumatra barb), 507 nucleotides long. RefSeq lists it as uncharacterized. The record is from RefSeq and is a predicted model, not a curated record. The transcript is spliced from 2 exons. Lineage: Eukaryota; Metazoa; Chordata; Actinopteri; Cypriniformes; Cyprinidae.